CAUACUGCUGCUUGAAGGAGGCAAACCAAAACUCUACAUUGCAAGAUUUUUCUAGUUUCAUGUUUAUGAUGUUAAGUCAUGUGAUAAUAUUGUACCAUAAGUUGCCAACUUCAUUUCACUCUAGAGAGGCUCCUUUGCUGCAGUGCUUUUUUGCUUUUUUUUUCUUGAAAGAGAAAAAAUUUGUGCAAUUGCUGCUGCAGCACGGAGCUGAUCCAAACAUUCGGAACACUGAUGGGAAAUCAGCCCUGGACCUGGCAGAUCCUUCAGCAAAAGCUGUCCUUACAGGUGAAUACAAGAAAGACGAACUCCUAGAAGCUGCUAGGAGUGGUAAUGAAGAAAAACUAAUGGCUUUACUGACUCCUCUAAAUGUGAAUUGCCAUGCAAGUGAUGGGCGAAAGUCGACUCCUUUACAUCUAGCAGCGGGCUACAACAGAGUUCGAAUAGUUCAGCUUCUUCUUCAGCAUGGUGCUGAUGUUCAUGCAAAAGAUAAAGGUGGACUUGUGCCUCUUCAUAAUGCAUGUUCAUAUGGACAUUAUGAAGUCACAGAACUGCUACUAAAGCAUGGAGCUUGUGUUAAUGCCAUGGAUCUCUGGCAGUUUACUCCACUGCACGAGGCUGCUUCCAAGAACCGUGUAGAAGUCUGCUCUUUGUUACUUAGCCAUGGCGCUGAUCCUACAUUAGUCAACUGCCAUGGCAAAAGUGCUGUGGAUAUGGCUCCAACUCCGGAGCUUAGGGAGAGAUUGACUUGUACGUAUUUA
RNAcentral lists this small RNA (758 nucleotides) under Pan troglodytes (chimpanzee). Its description in RNAcentral is "processed transcript". Lineage: Eukaryota; Metazoa; Chordata; Mammalia; Primates; Hominidae. The record is from RNAcentral.